CGCCUUAGUGUUGCCUUUCGCCUUCAUAACACUGAUUUAUCACUAUAAGGAAGUAGAGCCACAUAACUACAUAUAAAUUUGAACCAAAAAAAUUCUUUCAGAUAAAGAAGUGAUUGUGAUGGCCAACCAGUGGCUAUAAGUUUAUGAAUAUUUUUCUGUUAUAGCAUAUUGCAAACACCUUGCAGCUCUAAAAUUUCAAUGACAACCAUAGUUAUUAAAGGCUCAAG
Molecule: unclassified non-coding RNA, 227 nt
Filed under: Hevea brasiliensis (rubber tree)
Lineage: Eukaryota; Viridiplantae; Streptophyta; Magnoliopsida; Malpighiales; Euphorbiaceae
Source: RNAcentral